GAUGAACGCUGGCGGCGUGCCUAAUACAUGCAAGUCGAGCGAACGGACGAGAAGCUUGCUUCUCUGAUGUUAGCGGCGGACGGGUGAGUAACACGUGGAUAACCUACCUAUAAGACUGGGAUAACUUCGGGAAACCGGAGCUAAUACCGGAUAAUAUUUUGAACCGCAUGGUUCAAAAGUGAAAGACGGUCUUGCUGUCACUUAUAGAUGGAUCCGCGCUGCAUUAGCUAGUUGGUAAGGUAACGGCUUACCAAGGCAACGAUGCAUAGCCGACCUGAGAGGGUGAUCGGCCACACUGGAACUGAGACACGGUCCAGACUCCUACGGGAGGCAGCAGUAGGGAAUCUUCCGCAAUGGGCGAAAGCCUGACGGAGCAACGCCGCGUGAGUGAUGAAGGUCUUCGGAUCGUAAAACUCUGUUAUUAGGGAAGAACAUAUGUGUAAGUAACUGUGCACAUCUUGACGGUACCUAAUCAGAAAGCCACGGCUAACUACGUGCCGGCAGCCGCGGUAAUACGUAGGUGGCAAGCGUUAUCCGGAAUUAUUGGGCGUAAAGCGCGCGUAGGCGGUUUUUUAAGUCUGAUGUGAAAGCCCACGGCUCAACCGUGGAGGGUCAUUGGAAACUGGAAAACUUGAGUGCAGAAGAGGAAAGUGGAAUUCCAUGUGUAGCGGUGAAAUGCGCAGAGAUAUGGAGGAACACCAGUGGCGAAGGCGACUUUCUGGUCUGUAACUGACGCUGAUGUGCGAAAGCGUGGGGAUCAAACAGGAUUAGAUACCCUGGUAGUCCACGCCGUAAACGAUGAGUGCUAAGUGUUAGGGGGUUUCCGCCCCUUAGUGCUGCAGCUAACGCAUUAAGCACUCCGCCUGGGGAGUACGACCGCAAGGUUGAAACUCAAAGGAAUUGACGGGGACCCGCACAAGCGGUGGAGCAUGUGGUUUAAUUCGAAGCAACGCGAAGAACCUUACCAAAUCUUGACAUCCUUUGACAACUCUAGAGAUAGAGCCUUCCCCUUCGGGGGACAAAGUGACAGGUGGUGCAUGGUUGUCGUCAGCUCGUGUCGUGAGAUGUUGGGUUAAGUCCCGCAACGAGCGCAACCCUUAAGCUUAGUUGCCAUCAUUAAGUUGGGCACUCUAAGUUGACUGCCGGUGACAAACCGGAGGAAGGUGGGGAUGACGUCAAAUCAUCAUGCCCCUUAUGAUUUGGGCUACACACGUGCUACAAUGGACAAUACAAAGGGCAGCGAAACCGCGAGGUCAAGCAAAUCCCAUAAAGUUGUUCUCAGUUCGGAUUGUAGUCUGCAACUCGACUACAUGAAGCUGGAAUCGCUAGUAAUCGUAGAUCAGCAUGCUACGGUGAAUACGUUCCCGGGUCU
RNAcentral lists this ribosomal RNA (1372 nucleotides) under uncultured bacterium. Its description in RNAcentral is "bacterial SSU rRNA". It matches the Rfam family "Bacterial small subunit ribosomal RNA", at positions 28 to 1381 of the family's 1533-position model. The record is from RNAcentral.